GGUUAAGCGACUAAGCGUACACGGUGGAUGCCCUGGCAGUCAGAGGCGAUGAAGGGCGUGCUAAUCUGCGAUAAGCGCCGGUAAGGUGAUAUGAACCGUUAUAACCGGCGAUACCCGAAUGGGGAAACCCAGUGUGACUCGUCACACUAUCAUUAACUGAAUCCAUAGGUUAAUGAGGCGAACCGGGGGAACUGAAACAUCUAAGUACCCCGAGGAAAAGAAAUCAACCGAGAUUCCCCCAGUAGCGGCGAGCGAACGGGGAGGAGCCCAGAGCCUGAAUCAGCAUGUGUGUUAGUGGAAGCGUCUGGAAAGGCGCGCGAUACAGGGUGACAGCCCCGUACACAAAAGCGCAUGUGCUGUGAGCUCGAUGAGUAGGGCGGGACACGUGGUAUCCUGUCUGAAUAUGGGGGGACCAUCCUCCAAGGCUAAAUACUCCUGACUGACCGAUAGUGAACCAGUACCGUGAGGGAAAGGCGAAAAGAACCCCGGCGAGGGGAGUGAAAAAGAACCUGAAACCGUGUACGUACAAGCAGUGGGAGCCCCACCACUAAGCCAGUGGUGAACUCCACAUACGCAUCCUUUGCUGAGGAUACGGUUAACGGAGCGAAAGCGACGUUCAACCUCAAAAGAAGCAGAGGGGGCUUAGUGGUGGGGUGACUGCGUACCUUUUGUAUAAUGGGUCAGCGACUUAUAUUCUGUAGCAAGGUUAACCGUAUAGGGGAGCCGUAGGGAAACCGAGUCUUAACCGGGCGUUAAGUUGCAGGGUAUAGACCCGAAACCCGGUGAUCUAGCCAUGGGCAGGUUGAAGGUUGGGUAACACUAACUGGAGGACCGAACCGACUAAUGUUGAAAAAUUAGCGGAUGACCUGUGGCUGGGGGUGAAAGGCCAAUCAAACCGGGAGAUAGCUGGUUCUCCCCGAAAGCUAUUUAGGUAGCGCCUCGUGAAUUCAUCUCCGGGGGUAGAGCACUGUUUCGGCUAGGGGGCCAUCCCGGCUUACCAACCCGAUGCAAACUGCGAAUACCGGAGAAUGUUAUCACGGGAGACACACGGCGGGUGCUAACGUCCGUCGUGAAGAGGGAAACAACCCAGACCGCCAGCUAAGGUCCCAAAGUCAUGGUUAAGUGGGAAACGAUGUGGGAAGGCCCAGACAGCCAGGAUGUUGGCUUAGAAGCAGCCAUCAUUUAAAGAAAGCGUAAUAGCUCACUGGUCGAGUCGGCCUGCGCGGAAGAUGUAACGGGGCUAAACCAUGCACCGAAGCUGCGGCAGCGAACGUAUCACUUAAAGCGAUUCAGCGGGUUCGAUUGACGGAGCGAAGCGACGUCAAAGCGUAUACAAAGUCGAGUCGGUUUAAGGAUACGUUCGUUGGGUAGGGGAGCGUUCUGUAAGCCUGCGAAGGUGGCCUGUGAGGGUUGCUGGAGGUAUCAGAAGUGCGAAUGCUGACAUAAGUAACGAUAAAGCGGGUGAAAAGCCCGCUCGCCGGAAGACCAAGGGUUCCUGUCCAACGUUAAUCGGGGCAGGGUGAGUCGACCCCUAAGGCGAGGCCGAAAGGCGUAGUCGAUGGGAAACGGGUUAAUAUUCCCGUACUUGGUGUUACUGCGAAGGGGGGACGGAGAAGGCUAUGUUGGCCGGGCGACGGUUGUCCCGGUUUAAGCGUGUAGGUGUGUGUUCCAGGUAAAUCCGGUUCACUUUAACACUGAGGCGUGAUGACGAGGCACUACGGUGCUGAAGCAACAAAUGCCCUGCUUCCAGGAAAAGCCUCUAAGCAUCAGGUAACAUCAAAUCGUACCCCAAACCGACACAGGUGGUCAGGUAGAGAAUACCAAGGCGCUUGAGAGAACUCGGGUGAAGGAACUAGGCAAAAUGGUGCCGUAACUUCGGGAGAAGGCACGCUGACACGUAGGUGAAGUGAUUUACUCAUGGAGCUGAAGUCAGUCGAAGAUACCAGCUGGCUGCAACUGUUUAUUAAAAACACAGCACUGUGCAAACACGAAAGUGGACGUAUACGGUGUGACGCCUGCCCGGUGCCGGAAGGUUAAUUGAUGGGGUCAGCGCAAGCGAAGCUCCUGAUCGAAGCCCCGGUAAACGGCGGCCGUAACUAUAACGGUCCUAAGGUAGCGAAAUUCCUUGUCGGGUAAGUUCCGACCUGCACGAAUGGCGUAAUGAUGGCCAGGCUGUCUCCACCCGAGACUCAGUGAAAUUGAACUCGCUGUGAAGAUGCAGUGUACCCGCGGCAAGACGGAAAGACCCCGUGAACCUUUACUAUAGCUUGACACUGAACAUUGAGCCUUGAUGUGUAGGAUAGGUGGGAGGCUUUGAAGUGUGGACGCCAGUCUGCAUGGAGCCGACCUUGAAAUACCACCCUUUAAUGUUUGAUGUUCUAACGUGGACCCGUAAUCCGGGUUGCGGACAGUGUCUGGUGGGUAGUUUGACUGGGGCGGUCUCCUCCUAAAGAGUAACGGAGGAGCACGAAGGUUGGCUAAUCCUGGUCGGACAUCAGGAGGUUAGUGCAAUGGCAUAAGCCAGCUUGACUGCGAGCGUGACGGCGCGAGCAGGUGCGAAAGCAGGUCAUAGUGAUCCGGUGGUUCUGAAUGGAAGGGCCAUCGCUCAACGGAUAAAAGGUACUCCGGGGAUAACAGGCUGAUACCGCCCAAGAGUUCAUAUCGACGGCGGUGUUUGGCACCUCGAUGUCGGCUCAUCACAUCCUGGGGCUGAAGUAGGUCCCAAGGGUAUGGCUGUUCGCCAUUUAAAGUGGUACGCGAGCUGGGUUUAGAACGUCGUGAGACAGUUCGGUCCCUAUCUGCCGUGGGCGCUGGAGAACUGAGGGGGGCUGCUCCUAGUACGAGAGGACCGGAGUGGACGCAUCACUGGUGUUCGGGUUGUCAUGCCAAUGGCACUGCCCGGUAGCUAAAUGCGGAAGAGAUAAGUGCUGAAAGCAUCUAAGCACGAAACUUGCCCCGAGAUGAGUUCUCCCUGAGACUUAGAGUCUCCUGAAGGAACGUUGAAGACGACGACGUUGAUAGGCCGGGUGUGUAAGCGCAGCGAUGCGUUGAGCUAACCGGUACUAAUGAACCGUGAGGCUUAACCUU
RNAcentral lists this ribosomal RNA (3087 nucleotides) under Salmonella enterica. Its description in RNAcentral is "23S ribosomal RNA". It matches the Rfam family "Bacterial large subunit ribosomal RNA". Lineage: Bacteria; Pseudomonadati; Pseudomonadota; Gammaproteobacteria; Enterobacterales; Enterobacteriaceae. The record is from RNAcentral.